UACGUAGGGUGCGAGCGUUGUCCGGAAUUAUUGGGCGUAAAGAGCUCGUAGGCGGUGUGUCACGUCGGCCGUGAAAACCUGCAGCUUAACUGUGGGCGUGCGGGCGAUACGGGCAGACUAGAGUACUGCAGGGGAGACUGGAAUUCCUGGUGUAGCGGUGGAAUGCGCAGAUAUCAGGAGGAACACCGGUGGCGAAGGCGGGUCUCUGGGCAGUAACUGACGCUGAGGAGCGAAAGCGUGGGGAGCGAACAGG
This 253-nucleotide ribosomal RNA is filed under the name uncultured bacterium. RNAcentral's name for it is "partial 16S ribosomal RNA". It matches the Rfam family "Bacterial small subunit ribosomal RNA", at positions 524 to 776 of the family's 1533-position model. The record is from RNAcentral.